ACGUCAGGAAUUGUGAAAAACUGAGUUUAAAUGUAUUUGGCUAGGGUGUAUGUAAACUUCCGACUUCAACUGUAGAGAGCUUUAGUUAUUAUUUGACCAAACAUUAGAACGAGCAAGAUGAGUGUAUGUAUGCAGGCACUUGUAAUUGCUUUUCCAAUACUGCCAAUUCAUUGCUGAUGAUUGAUUUCACAUUGUGGUACGAGUAUAUAGUGAAUUGAGUAGUAUCCACCUACAACAACAUAGCGAUAACAUGGAGCCGGCAGGUGAUCCAGGUCACAAUAGAGGUCAAGCAGUUGAUAUCAGGAAUCAAGGUAAGACCCAGAUGCAGACUGUGUCGAAGUAACUAUGUUUAUUACAGCAACAGGGGAAAAGGUACAGGACGGCUGGCAGGCUCAUGGUCAGGCCAGGCAGAGGUCAGUAAUCCAGAGCUGGGGCAAAGGUACAGGACGGCAGGCAGGCUCAGGGUCAGGGGCAGGCAGAGUGGUCAGGAGGGCGGAUACAGGGUCUGAACAGGCAAGAGUCAAAAACCAGGAGGAUGAGAAAAGAGAGACUGGGGGAAAGCAGGAGCUGAAUUCAAAAACGCUGGUUGACUUCACAAACAAGAUGAACUGGCAACAGACAAACAGAUAACACAGGUAUAAAUACACUGGGGAUAAUGGGGAAGAUGGGCGACACCUGGAGGGGGGUGGAGACAAUCACAAAGACAGGUGAAACAGAUCAGGGUGUGACAGCGGGAUGAGGAAGAGGAGGAAGACUUGGUUGUCAAAGAAAUGACAGGGGACAAGCAACCCUUCUGAGAGGUGGUCGUGGGCCUCGUUUGAGAGGUGUGGGGGAACGUGGUAGAGGACAAGGCCACGGACCAAGACAGCGGCACAAACAGCAAAGAGUGUCCAAUGAAAUAUGAGCAAUAGUUGUUAACCAUGUCGUAAAUCAUGGCAUGACAAUGACUGAGGCAGCUACAAUGAUUCAACCAAACCUCAGAAAAUCAACCUUGGCCUCAAUCAUCAGAACUUUCCGCAAUGAGAACCGAGGGUGAUGGAGCUGGAUGCUGAUGAAAAACCAUCACAAAUUCCUCUUUUUUGGAUGAGGCAGGUUUCAACCUGGCAAGACAAGGAAGAGAGGUCGGAAUUUCAUUGGCCAGCGGCCAACCAUCCAAGUACCCGGACAACGUGGGGCCAACAUCACCAUGUCAUAUUCAGCUCUCCUUGUAACCUUCCUUGAUGAGCUAAAUCAGGUCUGUAGAGUUGAUGGUGUGACCUAUGUCAUUGUGUGGGAUAAUGUCAGGUUCCACCAUGCUCAAACGGUGCAAGCAUGGUUUCAGGCCCAUCCACAAUUUACCACCCUGUACUUACCCCCAUACUCUCCUUUCUUUAACCCGAUUGAGGAAUUCUUCUCCACAUGGAGGUGGAAGGUAUAUGAUAGGCGCCCUCACGAACAAGCCACCCUUCUCCAGGCCAUGGAUGCCGCAUGCAAUGACACCACGGCAGAUCAGUGCCAGGUCUGGAUUCGCCCGAAGAUUCUUUCCAAGAUGUUUGGCUAAUGAAAACAUCCAUUGUGAUGUGGAUGAGAACCUGUGGCCAAAUCCACAAGACAGGGUUGAUGGAAAUAUAGAAGUACUGUAAGCCAGAUGACUAUAGGAACAUAGUAAACCAUCUCUACAACACCAGUCUCCAGAUGCCUAGAGGAACAUAGUAAACCAUCUCUACAACACCAGUCUCCAGAUGACUAGAGGAACAUAGUAAACCAUCUCUACAACACCAGUCUCCAGAUGACUAUAGGAACAUAGUAAACCAUCUCUACAACACCAGUCUCCAGAUGACUAGAGGAACAUAGUAAACCAUCUCUACAACACCAGUCUCCAGAUGACUAGAGGAACAUAGUAAACCAUCUCUACAACACCAGUCUCCAGAUGACUAGAGGAACAUAGUAAACCAUCUCUACAACACCAGUCUCCAGAUGACUAGAGGAACAUAGUAAACCAUCUCUACAACACCAGUCUCCAGAUGACUAUAGGAACAUAGUAAACCAUCUCUACAACACCAGUCUCCAGAUGCCUAGAGGAACAUAGUAAACCAUCUCUACAACACCAGUCUCCAGAUGACUAGAGGAACAUAGUAAACCAUCUCUACAACACCAGUCUCCAGAUGACUAGAGGAACAUAGUAAACCAUCUCUACAACACCAGUCUCCAGAUGACUAGAGGAACAUAGUAAACCAUCUCUACAACACCAGUCUCCAGAUGACAGAGGAACAUAGUAAACCAUCUCUACAACACCAGUCUCCAGAUGACUAGAGGAACAUAGUAAACCAUCUCUACAACACCAGUCUCCAGAUGACUAGAGGAACAUAGUAAACUAUCUCUACAACACCAGCAUACAGAGGCAGACACACAGACAGAACGUGUUGGAUGAAUUAUUGAGUGUGUUUACCGAAAUGGAGGCUCUGUCUAUAAUCUGUUAUUGAAAUGCCCUGGGCAAGGGUCUCUCUCUCGCUCUCUCUCUAUGCCUUUUUCAAUCAAUUAAUCACAUUUAUUUAAAAAGCCCUUUUUACAUCAGUAGAUGUCGCAACGUGCUAUACAAAAACCCAGCCUAAAACCCCAAACAACAAGCAAUGCAGAUGUAGAAGCACGGUGGCUAGGAAAAACUCCCUAGAAAGGCAUGAACCUAGGAAGAAACCUAGAAAGGAACCAAGCUCUGAGGAGUGGUCAGUCCUCUUCUGGCUGUCCUGUUGAAGAUUAUAACAGUACAUGGUCAUUAAGUCCAGAUCAUUCUUCAAGAUGUUCAAACGUUCAUAGAUGACCAGCAGGGUCAGAUAAUAAUAAUCACAGUGGUUGUAGAGGGUGCAACAGGGCAGCACCUCAGGAGUAAAUGUCAGUUGGCUUUUCACAGCGGAACAUUCAGAGGUCGAGACAGCAGGUGUGGUAGAGAGAGUCGAAAACAACCUGUCCGGUGAACAGGUCAGGGUUCCAUAGCCGCAGGCAGAACAGUUGAAACUGGAGCAGCAGCACGACCAGGUGGACUGGGGACAGCCAGGAGUAAUCAGGCAAGGUAAUCCUGAUGCAUGGUCCUAGGGCUCACCUAAAGAAUUUCUCAACUAUGGAUCAAACUGUCUUCUCCUACAGAAUGUCUCAACGUCAGAGCAACCCACUGGGCACAGGUGUCAAUUCAACAUCUAUUCCACGUUGCUUCAGCGUAAUUUCAUUGAAAUGACAUAGAAACAACAUUGAUUCAACCAGGAUUUGCCCAGGUUUGCCCAGUGGGAAAGUACAUUUUCUACCAUACAUCAGGUUAAUGAAGUACUGGAUCACCUUGUUUUAAGACCUGUGCAUUUCUUACAGGUUGUAAACUUGCAAAAAACGUUUCAGGGAGUGCAGAGUAUAAGGCCAAACACACACACACACUCACACACACACACACACACAUACACAUACAAACCUACCAGCAGGGCUAAUCAAUUCUGAUUGGAACAGGCUUGGCUGCACCUCCCACACGGUGUGGCUACAGCCAAUGUUGCACCACCUCCAUCUAAACUGUGUGAAAGAGAGAGACACAGUGUGAGGGUGUGGGUGUGAGAGAGAGAGAUAGAUUCUGUCAGACCUGGGCCCUGACAGUAAAUCUCAGUAAGACAAAAAUAAUGUUGUUCCAAAAAAGGUCCAGUUGCCAGGACAACAAAUAGAAAUUCCAUCUAGACACCGUCGUCCUAGAGCACACAAAAAACCUAUACAUACCUCGGCCUAAACAUCAGCGCCACAGGUAACUUCCACAAAGCUGUGACGGAGCGACAAGACGAGAAGGGCCUCAUUUGCCAUCAAAAGUAACACAAAAUGUAACAUCCCAAUUAGGAUCUGACUAAAAACACUUGAAUCAGUUAUAGAACCCAUUGACCUCUUUGGUUGUGAAGUCUGGGGUCCUCUCACCAACCAAUAAUUCACAAAAUGGGACAAACACCAAAUUGAGACUCUGCAUGCAGAAUUCUGCAAAACUGUCCUCCGUGUACAACGUUAAACACCAAAUAAUGCAUGCAGAGCAGAAUUAGGCCGACACCCGCUAAUUAUCAAAAUCAAGAGCCGUUAAAUUCUACAACCACCUAACAGGAAGUAAUUCCCUAACCUUCCAUAACAAAGCCAUCACCUACAGAGAGAUGAACCUGGAGAAGAGUUCCCUAAGCAAGCUGGUCCUGAGGCUCUGUUCACAAACACAAACAGACCCCACAGAGCCCCAGGACAGCAACACAAUUAGACCCAACCAAAUAAUGAGAAAACAAAAAGAUAAUUACUUGACACAUUGGAAAGAAAUAACAAAAAAACAGAGCAGACUAGAAUGCUAUUUGGCCCUAAACAGAGAGUACACAGUGGCAGAAUACCUGACCACUGUCACUGACUCAAAAUUAAGGAAAGCUUUGACUAUGUACAGACUCAGUGAGCAUAGCCUUGCUAUUGAAACAGGCCGCCGUAGGCAGAUCUGGCUCUCAAGAGAAGACAGGCUAUGGGCACACUGCCCACAAAAUUAGGUGGAAACUGAGCUGUACCUCCUAACCUCCUGCCAAAUGUAUGACCACAUUAGAGACACAUAUUUCCCUCAGAUUACACAGACCCACAAAGAAUUUGAAAAUAAAUCCAAUUUUGAAAAACUCCCAUAUCUAUUGGGUGAAAUAUCACAAUGUACCAUCACAGCAGCAAGAUUUGUGACCUGUUGACACAAGAAAAGGGAAAGAUGAAUGGAGCAAAGUACAGAGGGAUACUUGAUGAAAACCUGCUCCAGAGCACUCAGGAACUCAGACUGGGGCGAAGGUUCACCUUCCAACAGGACAAUGACCCUAAGCACACAGCCAAGACAAUGCAGGAGUGGCUUCGGGAUAAGUCUCUGAAUGUCCUUGAGUGGCCCAGCCAGAGCCUGGACUUGAACCCGAUCUAACAACUCUGGAGAGACCUGAAAAUAGCUGUGCAGCGACGCUCCCCAUCCAACCUGAUAGAGCUUGAGGGGAUCUGCAGAGAAGAAUGGGAGAAACACAGGUGUGCCAAGCUUGUAGCAUCAUACCCAAUAAGACUCGAGGAUGUAAUCACUGCCAAAGUGCUUCAACGAAGUUCUGAGUAAAGGGUCUGAAUACCUUUUUUUUUUGCAAAAAUGUCCAAAAACCUGUUCUUGUUUGUCAUUUUUACCUGCCG
RNAcentral lists this long non-coding RNA (5163 nucleotides) under Salmo salar (Atlantic salmon). Its description in RNAcentral is "lncRNA (ENSSSAG00000117832.1)". The record is from RNAcentral. Lineage: Eukaryota; Metazoa; Chordata; Actinopteri; Salmoniformes; Salmonidae.